UCUCCCCUGCUUAACACACCAGCCGCAAGGCAAAGCAGGAUUGAGAUCCUAUGUGUGUUCUGCUUUCAGGCUACUACUGCACAGGAAGGACACGGACCCCUAGGCCAAUGGAUGGUAUCACAGGGAAUAUGUGUCCUGAAGGACAUUACUGCCCUGCAGGCUCCAGAGCACCCUCCCUUUGCCCAGAUGGAGAACACAGCAACACAACAGGUCAAGAGAAAUGUUCCCCUUGUCCAGCUGGAUUUCACUGUCAGAGUGGCAUAAGGCUUCACUGUCCACCUGGCUUUUACUGCCCCCAGAAGACUGGAAUCAGUUUUUCUCCUUGUCCACCUGGGACUUACAACCCAUCUCAUGGAGUCAGCCAGGCUGAGAGGUGCCAGCAGUGCCCUGCAGGCAUGUUCUGUGGAGAAUGGGGACUGUCCUCUCCGAGUGGGCCCUGCUGGCCAGGCUUCUUCUGCACUGCAGGAGCCAGUGUCCCAGAUCCUAAUGGAGUCACAAACACAAGCAGUGGAGGGCCAUGCCCACCUGGUCACUUUUGCCCAACUGGCACCAGUAUCCCAUUGCCCUGCCCAGCGGGCACGUACUCA
Long non-coding RNA from Gavialis gangeticus (Gharial), 587 nucleotides. RefSeq lists it as uncharacterized. The record is from RefSeq and is a predicted model, not a curated record. NCBI's taxonomy places the organism in Eukaryota, Metazoa, Chordata, Crocodylia, Gavialidae. The transcript has 4 exons.